AGGGGGCACACGGAGUUGAAACAUGAACCUAUCGAUCUGCAGUCGAUUGCUCUACCACUGAGCUAUACCCCA
This 72-nucleotide transfer RNA is filed under the name Caligus rogercresseyi. RNAcentral describes it as "tRNA-Cys". Lineage: Eukaryota; Metazoa; Arthropoda; Copepoda; Siphonostomatoida; Caligidae. The record is from RNAcentral.